Molecule: ribosomal RNA, 1302 nt
Filed under: fermentation metagenome
Description: bacterial LSU rRNA
Rfam family: Bacterial large subunit ribosomal RNA
Source: RNAcentral
UCCUGCGCCGAAAAUGUAACGGGGCUAAAGUCUGGUACCGAAGCUGCGGAUUUAGAGGUUAAACUUCUAAGUGGUAGGGGAGCGUUGCCUAAGCAUAGAAGCAGUACCGUGAGGAGCUGUGGAGUUUAGGGAAGUGAGAAUGCCGGUAUAAGUAGCGAAAAGAAAGGUGAGAAUCCUUUCCGCCGAAAGCCUAAGGUUUCCUGAGGAAGGUUCGUCCGCUCAGGGUUAGUCGGGUCCUAAGCUGAGGUCGAAGGACGUAGGCGAUGGACAACAGGUUGAUAUUCCUGUACCACCUAGUCACCGUUUGAGUGAAGGGGGAACGCAGUAGGGUAGGCAAUCCGGGUGAUGGAAGUCCCGGUCCAAGCGAUUAGGGUGCAAGAUAGGUAAAUCCGUCUUGCGUGAAACCUGAGACGUAAUGGGGAGUUGCAUUAAGCAGCGAAGUUGUUGAUCCCACACUGACAAGAAAAGCCUCUAGCGAGGUGACGGGUGCCCGUACCGCAAACCGACACAGGUAGGCGAGGAGAGAAUCCUAAGGCGCGCGAGAGAACUCUCGUUAAGGAACUCGGCAAAAAUACUCCGUAACUUCGGGAGAAGGAGUGCUCCUGUUGGUUAAGACUUUACGUUGUAAGCUGAUAGGAGUCGCAGCAAAUUGGCCCAAGCGACUGUUUACCAAAAACACAGGUCUCUGCUAAGUCGCAAGACGAAGUAUAGGGGCUGACGCCUGCCCAGUGCUGGAAGGUUAAGGGGACGGCUUAGCGCAAGCAAAGGUCAGAACCGAAGCCCCAGUGAACGGCGGCCGUAACUAUAACGGUCCUAAGGUAGCGAAAUUCCUUGUCGGGUAAGUUCCGACCUGCACGAAUGGCGUAACGACUUGGGCGCUGUCUCAACGAGAGACUCGGCGAAAUUGUAAUAUGAGUGAAGAUGCUCAUUACCCGCAGUAAGACGGAAAGACCCCGUGGAGCUUUACUGUAGCUUGAUAUUGAAUUUUGGUACACACUGUACAGGAUAGGUGGGAGACAUAGAAGCCAGGGCGCUAGUCUUGGUGGAGUCACCGGUGGGAUACCACUCUUUAUGUGCUGGAUUUCUAACCAGAGGCCGUAAUCCGGUCAUGGGACAGUAUCAGGUGGGCAGUUUGACUGGGGCGGUCGCCUCCUAAAAGGUAACGGAGGCGCCCAAAGGUUCCCUCAGCGCGGUCGGAAAUCGCGCGUUAGAGUGUAAAGGCACAAGGGAGCUUAACUGCGAGACAUACAGGUCGAGCAGGGACGAAAGUCGGGCUUAGUGAUCCGGUGGUUCCGAGUGGAA